GAUGAAGAACGCAGCGAAAUGCGAUAAGUAAUGCGAAUUGCAGAAUUCAGUGAGUCAUCGAAUCUUUGAACGCACAUUGCGCCCUGUGGUAUUCCGCAGGGCAUGCCUGUUCGAGCGUCAUUUCAACCCUCAAGCCCCGCUUGGUGUUGGGCCCCGCCCGCUGUGGCCGGCCCUAAAGACAGUGGCGGCGCCGCCUGGCCCUCAGCGUAGUACAUCUCUCGCUCCAGGGUCCGGUGGCCGCCUGCCAGAACCCCCCAACUCUGUGGUUGACCUCGGAUCAGGUAGGACUACCCGCUGAACUUAAGCAUAUCAAUAAGCGGAGGA
This 324-nucleotide unclassified non-coding RNA is filed under the name soil metagenome. RNAcentral describes it as "partial contains 5.8S ribosomal RNA, internal transcribed spacer 2, and large subunit ribosomal RNA". The stretch from base 1 to 120 matches the Rfam family "5.8S ribosomal RNA", at positions 35 to 154 of the family's 154-position model. The record is from RNAcentral.